This 304-nucleotide long non-coding RNA is filed under the name Mytilus galloprovincialis (Mediterranean mussel). Lineage: Eukaryota; Metazoa; Mollusca; Bivalvia; Mytilida; Mytilidae. The record is from RNAcentral.
UUAAUUUGUGUUUGAAACAUACAUUUUUAAUUAUAAUAUAAUCUGACUGAUUGUUAGUCAAUUACAAAUAGAAAAAAAAAAUACAAUAUAAGCAUAUAUAAUUGCAAAUCAUUCACAUUUAUAAUUACGUAAUUUUGUACCGUAUUUGACCCUUACUUUAACAUCCUCAUUAUUGAAUCAAUCUACCUGACACAUAUUGCUCGUUUAGAAAAAUCGUGCAGAUGUCUUAAUGUGAUCAGAUAAUCGUAACUUGACGUGAUUGAGGGAUAAUAUACUUCACGUGUUAAUCUUUUCGCUUUUGGAU